CUCGCCAUAGUUCAAUGGAUAGAACAAGCCCCUCCUAAGGGUUAGAUGCAGGUUCGAUUCCUGCUGGCGGGACCA
Molecule: transfer RNA, 75 nt
Filed under: Betaproteobacteria bacterium
Lineage: Bacteria; Pseudomonadati; Pseudomonadota; Betaproteobacteria
Description: tRNA-Arg
Rfam family: tRNA
About the family: Transfer RNA (tRNA) molecules are approximately 80 nucleotides in length. Their secondary structure includes four short double-helical elements and three loops (D, anti-codon, and T loops).
Source: RNAcentral